UAGGGGAAGAUAAUGACUGUACCCUAAGAAUAAGGUCCGGCUAACUUCGUGCCAGCAGCCGCGGUAAUACGAAGGGACCUAGCGUAGUUCGGAAUUACUGGGCGUAAAGCGCGCGUAGGCCGUUGAGUUAGUUAAUUGUGAAAUCCCAAAGCUUAACUUUGGAACUGCAAUUAAAACUGCUCGACUAGAGUUUGAUAGAGGAAAGCGGAAUACAUAGUGUAGAGGUGAAAUUCGUAGAUAUUAUGUAGAACACCAGUUGCGAAGGCGGCUUUCUGGAUCAACACUGACGCUGAGGCGCGAAAGUAUGGGUAGCAAAGAGGAUUAGAUACCCUCGUAGUCCAUACCAUAAACGAUGAUUGCUAGAUGUUGGAAAUUUAUUUUCAGUAUCGCAGCUAACGCAUUAAGCAAUCCGCCUGGGGAGUACGACCGCAAGGUUAAAACUCAAAUGAAUUGACGG
RNAcentral lists this ribosomal RNA (457 nucleotides) under uncultured bacterium. Its description in RNAcentral is "bacterial SSU rRNA". It matches the Rfam family "Bacterial small subunit ribosomal RNA", at positions 439 to 916 of the family's 1533-position model. The record is from RNAcentral.